UGCAAGUCGAGCGGAUCGAUGGGAGCUUGCUCCCUGAGAUCAGCGGCGGACGGGUGAGUAACACGUGGGUAACCUGCCUGUAAGACUGGGAUAACUCCGGGAAACCGGGGCUAAUACCGGAUAACACCUACCCCCGCAUGGGGGAAGGUUGAAAGGUGGCUUCGGCUAUCACUUACAGAUGGACCCGCGGCGCAUUAGCUAGUUGGUGAGGUAAUGGCUCACCAAGGCGACGAUGCGUAGCCGACCUGAGAGGGUGAUCGGCCACACUGGGACUGAGACACGGCCCAGACUCCUACGGGAGGCAGCAGUAGGGAAUCUUCCGCAAUGGACGAAAGUCUGACGGAGCAACGCCGCGUGAGUGAAGAAGGUUUUCGGAUCGUAAAACUCUGUUGUUAGGGAAGAACAAGUGCCGUUCGAAUAGGGCGGCGCCUUGACGGUACCUAACCAGAAAGCCACGGCUAACUACGUGCCAGCAGCCGCGGUAAUACGUAGGUGGCAAGCGUUGUCCGGAAUUAUUGGGCGUAAAGCGCGCGCAGGUGGUUUCUUAAGUCUGAUGUGAAAGCCCACGGCUCAACCGUGGAGGGUCAUUGGAAACUGGGGAACUUGAGUGCAGAAGAGGAAAGUGGAAUUCCAAGUGUAGCGGUGAAAUGCGUAGAUAUUUGGAGGAACACCAGUGGCGAAGGCGACUUUCUGGUCUGUAACUGACACUGAGGCGCGAAAGCGUGGGGAGCAAACAGG
This 738-nucleotide ribosomal RNA is filed under the name Rossellomorea aquimaris. Its description in RNAcentral is "bacterial SSU rRNA". It matches the Rfam family "Bacterial small subunit ribosomal RNA", at positions 56 to 776 of the family's 1533-position model. Lineage: Bacteria; Bacillati; Bacillota; Bacilli; Caryophanales; Bacillaceae. The record is from RNAcentral.